UACGGAGGAUUCAAGCGUUAUCCGGAAUCAUUGGGUUUAAAGGGUCCGUAGGCGGUCUUAUAAGUCAGUGGUGAAAUCUCCUAGCUCAACUAGGAAACUGCCAUUGAUACUGUAAGACUUGAAUUUUUGUGAAGUAACUAGAAUAUGUAGUGUAGCGGUGAAAUGCUUAGAUAUUACGUGGAAUACCAAUUGCGAAGGCAGGUUACUAACAAACGAUUGACGCUGAUGGACGUAAGCGGGGGAGCGAACAGG
RNAcentral lists this unclassified non-coding RNA (252 nucleotides) under uncultured Flavobacteriaceae bacterium. Its description in RNAcentral is "contains 16S-23S intergenic spacer region". It matches the Rfam family "Bacterial small subunit ribosomal RNA", at positions 524 to 776 of the family's 1533-position model. Lineage: Bacteria; Pseudomonadati; Bacteroidota; Flavobacteriia; Flavobacteriales; Flavobacteriaceae. The record is from RNAcentral.